This 252-nucleotide ribosomal RNA is filed under the name Salmonella enterica subsp. enterica serovar Thompson. Its description in RNAcentral is "partial 16S ribosomal RNA". It matches the Rfam family "Bacterial small subunit ribosomal RNA", at positions 143 to 397 of the family's 1533-position model. Lineage: Bacteria; Pseudomonadati; Pseudomonadota; Gammaproteobacteria; Enterobacterales; Enterobacteriaceae. The record is from RNAcentral.
AUAACUACUGGAAACGGUGGCUAAUACCGCAUAACGUCGCAAGACCAAAGAGGGGGACCUUCGGGCCUCUUGCCAUCAGAUGUGCCCAGAUGGGAUUAGCUAGUUGGUGAGGUAACGGCUCACCAAGGCGACGAUCCCUAGCUGGUCUGAGAGGAUGACCAGCCACACUGGAACUGAGACACGGUCCAGACUCCUACGGGAGGCAGCAGUGGGGAAUAUUGCACAAUGGGCGCAAGCCUGAUGCAGCCAUGC